Molecule: ribosomal RNA, 443 nt
Filed under: uncultured bacterium
Lineage: Bacteria
Description: partial 16S ribosomal RNA
Rfam family: Bacterial small subunit ribosomal RNA
Source: RNAcentral
CCUACGGGUGGCUGCAGUGGGGAAUAUUGCACAAUGGGCGAAAGCCUGAUGCAGCAACGCUGCGUGAAGGAAGAAGGUUUUCGGCUCGUAAACUUCUAUCAACAGGGACGAAAGAAGUGACGGUACCUUAAUAAUAAGCCCCGGCUAACUACGUGCCAGCAGCCGCGGUAAUACGGAGGGGGCAAGCGUUAUCCGGAAUUACUGGGUGUAAAGGGUGAGUAGGUGGCAUGGUAAGCCGGAUGUGAAAUCCUUGGGCUUAACCCGGGGAUUGCAUUUGGAACUACCAAGCUGGAGUGCAGGAGAGGAAAGCGGAAUUCCUAGUGUAGCGGUGAAAUGCGUAGAUAUUAGGAAGAACACCAGUGGCGAAGGCGGCUUGCUGGACUGAAACUGACGCUGAGGCACGAAAGCGUGGGGAGCGAACAGGAUUAGAUACCCCAGUAGUC